GUGCCAGCAGCCGCGGUAACACGGGGGGAGCAAGCGUUGUUCGGAAUCACUGGGCGUAAAGGGCGUCUAGGCGGUUGGAUAAGUGGGGUGUGAAAUCCCUCGGCUCACCCGAGGAUCUGCAUCCCAAACUGUCCGGCUUGAGUAUGGGAGAGGAUGAGGGAAUUCCUGGUGUAGCGGUGAAAUGCGUAGAUAUCAGGAGGAACACCGGUGGCGAAAGCGCUCAUCUGGCCCAAUACUGACGCUGAAGCGCGAAAGCUAGGGGAGCAAACGGGAUUAGAUACCCCGGUAGUCCUAGCCGUAAACGGUGAUCACUAGGUGUUGGGGGCAUCGACCCCUCCAGUGCCGCAGCUAACGCAUUAAGUGAUCCGCCUGGGGAGUACGGCCGCAAGGUUGAA
RNAcentral lists this ribosomal RNA (395 nucleotides) under uncultured bacterium. RNAcentral describes it as "bacterial SSU rRNA". It matches the Rfam family "Bacterial small subunit ribosomal RNA", at positions 505 to 898 of the family's 1533-position model. The record is from RNAcentral.